RNAcentral lists this ribosomal RNA (545 nucleotides) under Clostridioides difficile. Its description in RNAcentral is "bacterial LSU rRNA". It matches the Rfam family "Bacterial large subunit ribosomal RNA", at positions 2378 to 2925 of the family's 2925-position model. The record is from RNAcentral. Lineage: Bacteria; Bacillati; Bacillota; Clostridia; Peptostreptococcales; Peptostreptococcaceae.
AGACAUACAGGUCGAGCAAGGAUGAAAAUCGGACUUAGUGAUCCGGUGGUUCUGCGUGGAAGGGCCAUCGCUCAACGGAUAAAAGCUACCCUGGGGAUAACAGGCUUAUCUCCCCCAAGAGUCCACAUCGACGGGGAGGUUUGGCACCUCGAUGUCGGCUCAUCACAUCCUGGGGCUGUAGUAGGUCCCAAGGGUUGGGCUGUUCGCCCAUUAAAGUGGUACGCGAGCUGGGUUCAGAACGUCGUGAGACAGUUCGGUCCCUAUCCGUCGCAGGCGUAGGAAAUUUGAGAAGACCUGUCCUUAGUACGAGAGGACCGGGAUGGACGUACCUCUGGUGUACCAGUUGUCCUGCCAAGGGCAUGGCUGGGUAGCUAUGUGCGGAAUGGAUAAGCGCUGAAAGCAUCUAAGCGCGAAGCCAACUUCAAGAUAAGAUUUCCCACCGCAAGGGUAAGACCCCAGAAAGACUAUCUGGUUGAUAGGUCGAAGGUGUAAGUGCAGCAAUGUAUUUAGCUUAUCGAUACUAAUAGGUCGAGGACUUGACCAAU